CCCAACAUACUGAUUCUGUGCAUCCUUAACACUGAGGCCCCUCGCCUGCAGCUGGAGGCAGCUCUCUGCUCAGCCUGCAGUGCAGAGUGACACAGGCAGGCGACAUCGUCACUAAGCAUCAACUUCUCUUACAUGGAGGAGGCAGAGAGUGAAAACCAUUCGGAACCGUGACAAGGCAUGAGAGAAGCAAAGGGGUAGCUGCAAAGUUUUGGACAAGAUCUCUGCAGGCAACUGGAAGCACAGUGUACCCAGGUGGUGGGUCUCGUCUGUGGCAAUAUAUUUUUUUUGUCUGUCAAAUUGAAUAUGGCUAUAAAGGGAAUAAAACCCCAUGUAAUCUCCA
Cavia porcellus (domestic guinea pig) is the source of this 340-nucleotide long non-coding RNA. RefSeq lists it as uncharacterized. The transcript has 2 exons. NCBI's taxonomy places the organism in Eukaryota, Metazoa, Chordata, Mammalia, Rodentia, Caviidae. The record is from RefSeq and is a predicted model, not a curated record.